Molecule: unclassified non-coding RNA, 268 nt
Filed under: Glomus sp.
Lineage: Eukaryota; Fungi; Glomeromycota; Glomeromycetes; Glomerales; Glomeraceae
Description: partial contains 5.8S ribosomal RNA and internal transcribed spacer 2
Rfam family: 5.8S ribosomal RNA (bases 1-65)
Source: RNAcentral
GUGAAUCAUCAAAUCUUUGAACGCAAAUUGCACUCUCCUCGGAGAGUAUGCCUGUUUGAGGGUCAGCCUAUAAAAAUCGACAUCGGUGCUGUUUCGCGGGUGCGUUCGUCGGAAAUUGGGGCAUCUUAAAUCCCUUGGAUUUAAACGACUUAAAAUUUUCUUUUAGUUCCAUGAACGUGUCUAAGAGUUAUUUCUUUACACGGUUAAGGUAUCGAUUUUUAUUAGACGUGACCAUCAUAUCUGAGCGCGCGCAUAAUCAUUCAUUGAC